RNAcentral lists this ribosomal RNA (254 nucleotides) under uncultured Spirochaeta sp. RNAcentral describes it as "partial 16S ribosomal RNA". It matches the Rfam family "Bacterial small subunit ribosomal RNA", at positions 1130 to 1382 of the family's 1533-position model. The record is from RNAcentral. Lineage: Bacteria; Pseudomonadati; Spirochaetota; Spirochaetia; Spirochaetales; Spirochaetaceae.
GGUGGGGACUCAGGCGGGACCGCCGGUGACGAAACCGGAGGAAGGUGGGGACGACGUCAAGUCAUCAUGGCCCUUAUGUCCUGGGCCACACACGUGCUACAAUGGCCGGUACAGAGCGCAGCGAGGCCGCGAGGCGGAGCGAAUCGCUUAAAGCCGGUCCCAGUACGGAUUGGAGUCUGCAACCCGACUCCAUGAAGUUGGAAUCGCUAGUAAUCGCGCAUCAGCAUGGCGCGGUGAAUACGUUCCCGGGCCUU